Molecule: ribosomal RNA, 253 nt
Filed under: uncultured bacterium
Lineage: Bacteria
Description: partial 16S ribosomal RNA
Rfam family: Bacterial small subunit ribosomal RNA
Source: RNAcentral
UACGAAGGGUGCAAGCGUUGUCCGGAAUUAUUGGGCGUAAAGAGCUCGUAGGCGGUUUGUCGCGUCUGCUGUGAAAAACUCGGGGCUUAACUCCGGGCCUGCAGUGGGUACGGGCAGACUAGAGUGCGGUAGGGGAGACUGGAAUUCCUGGUGUAGCGGUGAAAUGCGCAGAUAUCAGGAGGAACACCGGUGGCGAAGGCGGGUCUCUGGGCCGUAACUGACGCUGAGGAGCGAAAGCGUGGGGAGCGAACGG